RNAcentral lists this non-coding RNA (424 nucleotides) under Pongo abelii (Sumatran orangutan). Lineage: Eukaryota; Metazoa; Chordata; Mammalia; Primates; Hominidae. The record is from RNAcentral.
AAGGACUGUGCUCCCAAUCCGCUUAUGCUCAAGGAAGAACUGGAAGGCCCAGAACCAGCCUGAUGUCAGGAUCAGAACAAAAGAGGAGGACUGCAUAUGUAUGGACCCACUCCAGAUGGCACGGGGACGGGGGGGAGUAGGAAAAGUGGCAUGGUCCCUUCCCGUGGGUAUACUUCUUCCCAGGCCUGUUGUGUGAGUUGGUGUUGCCAUCAUUCCUGCCCCACACUUGCAAACUUCCCUUUGGAAUUUCAGAGACCAGGCCCACAGAGUAUGGCUGUGCAAGUUGUUUACUGUACGAGGGCACCUGGCCGGGCUCUCUGGUGGAGCCUGUCUCACAGGCCACCUGCAGGCCAACACUCCCAGAAGCAGCUAGCACCAUGGUUGACCUCGUCCAGGUCCAGGGAAGGCCUCCCUCUCCAGGACU